ACACAGUGAGGAUUGACAGAUUGAGAGCUCUUUCUUGAUUCUGUGGGUGGUGGUGCAUGGUCCGUUUUAGUUGGUGGAGUAAUUUGUCUGGUUAAUUCCGUUAACGAACGAGACCUUAACCUAUUAAAUAGUCGUGGGAACCCAGGUCUUUCAUCCUCUUUCUCAGCAAGUGGGGGGGAGGAAACCAUUAUCAUAUUGGUACCCUCUGGGUAUCAUGUGGUAGUGGUGAGGAUCUGAUAGUGUUCUUAUAGGCUUCUUAGAGGGACUCUUUGCAUCUUUAGCAAAUGGAAGUUUGAGGCAAAAACAGGUCUGUGAUGCCCUUCGAUGUUCUGGGCUGCACGCGCGUUACAAUGACGCAUGCAACGAGUUAUUAAAUUCCUGGCCCGAUGGGGUUGGGUAAUCUUUUUAAAGUGCGUCGUGAUGGGGAU
RNAcentral lists this ribosomal RNA (428 nucleotides) under uncultured eukaryote. Its description in RNAcentral is "bacterial SSU rRNA". It matches the Rfam family "Eukaryotic small subunit ribosomal RNA", at positions 1228 to 1577 of the family's 1831-position model. The record is from RNAcentral.